GACAGGAAGAAUCUUCAGUUUUGAGGUCUCAGAUCCUUUGCAACAAGAUAAUGAUUUCAGGCUGAAAGCAGCAUUCAACUGAUCUUUUAAUAGAAUUCUUGGUCAGAAAAGAUCUAUUCAGAGAGGUGGAGAUCAGAGACACCCAAUAACAGCAUUGACCCUGUAUUACAUUAGACCUCAGCAGAGCUCCUGGCUGCCUUGGAUUAAACGAGGAUGGUCCCAUAGACAGGGCAGUGCCCUCCUGCUAGCAGUUUCGGGGAAAUGACGCUCGGCAGAUCCAUGGACAGAUGGGACUCCAUGAUGUAAAUGCGUGGCAGUAACGGGUCUGUCGUCUGAGCUGGUGGAGGGCCUGGAAGAGUAGAAGCUGUAACUGGGCUCUGUUUGAUAUGAACAGCUCCUUUUUCACUUAAAGCCUGCCAAAUUUCAUGCCUUAUUGAUUCAAUAAACGAAGAAGAAUGACAGUGAACUGCUCGUAGAGACGAAGGCUGCCGGGAAUGCCAGCGUGUGUAACAUAGGAUGCGACCUGUCCUACAGGUUUCCACAAGUCUAGCAGAGGAGGCAGCCAUCGAGGUACAAAGCACCUGCUGCUCCAUCGCGGUCUGCCAUGGCCCGACAUGGACUGAGCGCUGCUUGCUGCAGUCACAGUGCACGUGAGAAUGCCAUUAGCAUCUAACCUUAAUUACAGGCCACUUACUUAGGGUUUUAUUGAGUCAAAAAUUGAUGAGAUUUCUGGGAGUCUGGUCUUGGAAUGCCUGGGGAAUAAACUUGAAAAACAGAGGAAAACAACAUGCUUUCCAAGAUUGCAGGGAAGCCGUGAGCCUCUGCCGCUGCCUCCUUCUCUACACUGAGCAGUAA
This is a long non-coding RNA of Chroicocephalus ridibundus (black-headed gull), 855 nucleotides long. RefSeq lists it as uncharacterized. The transcript is spliced from 6 exons. The record is from RefSeq and is a predicted model, not a curated record. NCBI's taxonomy places the organism in Eukaryota, Metazoa, Chordata, Aves, Charadriiformes, Laridae.